This 465-nucleotide ribosomal RNA is filed under the name Vreelandella stevensii. RNAcentral's name for it is "partial 16S ribosomal RNA". It matches the Rfam family "Bacterial small subunit ribosomal RNA", at positions 338 to 795 of the family's 1533-position model. Lineage: Bacteria; Pseudomonadati; Pseudomonadota; Gammaproteobacteria; Oceanospirillales; Halomonadaceae. The record is from RNAcentral.
CCUACGUGGUGCUGCAGUGGGGAAUAUUGGACAAUGGGCGAAAGCCUGAUCCAGCCAUGCCGCGUGUGUGAAGAAGGCCUUCGGGUUGUAAAGCACUUUCAGUGGGGAAGAAAGCCUUGGGGCUAAUACCCUCGAGGAAGGACAUCACCCACAGAAGAAGCACCGGCUAACUCCGUGCCAGCAGCCGCGGUAAUACGGAGGGUGCGAGCGUUAAUCGGAAUUACUGGGCGUAAAGCGCGCGUAGGCGGUCUGAUAAGCCGGUUGUGAAAGCCCCGGGCUCAACCUGGGAACGGCAUCCGGAACUGUCAGGCUAGAGUGCAGGAGAGGAAGGUAGAAUUCCCGGUGUAGCGGUGAAAUGCGUAGAGAUCGGGAGGAAUACCAGUGGCGAAGGCGGCCUUCUGGACUGACACUGACGCUGAGGUGCGAAAGCGUGGGUAGCAAACAGGAUUAGAUACCCUUGUAGUC